UUGAACUAUGUAUCUGGAUGC
Molecule: microRNA, 21 nt
Filed under: Petromyzon marinus (sea lamprey)
Lineage: Eukaryota; Metazoa; Chordata; Hyperoartia; Petromyzontiformes; Petromyzontidae
Description: pma-miR-4570
Source: miRBase by way of RNAcentral